AUUACCGAGUUUUCGAGCUCCGGCUCGACUCUCCCACCCUUUGUGAACGUACCUCUGUUGCUUUGGCGGCUCCGGCCGCCAAAGGACCUUCAAACUCCAGUCAGUAAACGCAGACGUCUGAUAAACAAGUUAAUAAACUAAAACUUUCAACAACGGAUCUCUUGGUUCUGGCAUCGAUGAAGAACGCAGCGAAAUGCGAUAAGUAAUGUGAAUUGCAGAAUUCAGUGAAUCAUCGAAUCUUUGAACGCACAUUGCGCCCCUUGGUAUUCCGGGGGGCAUGCCUGUUCGAGCGUCAUUACAACCCUCAAGCUCUGCUUGGAAUUGGGCACCGUCCUCACUGCGGACGCGCCUCAAAGACCUCGGCGGUGGCUGUUCAGCCCUCAAGCGUAGUAGAAUACACCUCGCUUUGGAGCGGUUGGCGUCGCCCGCCGGACGAACCUUCUGAACUUUUCUCAAGGUUGACCUCGGAUCAGGUAGGGAUAC
RNAcentral lists this ribosomal RNA (483 nucleotides) under fungal sp. E15122A. RNAcentral describes it as "eukaryotic LSU rRNA". The stretch from base 142 to 295 matches the Rfam family "5.8S ribosomal RNA". Lineage: Eukaryota; Fungi. The record is from RNAcentral.